UUACGGUCAAAUCACGCUGAAAAUAAUGAUUCUGGUUCGAACACCGAAGUUAAGUUACGUCGCGCCCGGUCAGUAAUUAAAUGGGAGACUGCUUGGAAACACUGGGUACUGUAA
Molecule: non-coding RNA, 114 nt
Organism: Acanthosepion pharaonis
Lineage: Eukaryota; Metazoa; Mollusca; Cephalopoda; Sepiida; Sepiidae
Source: the annotation of a GenBank genome assembly